UCGAGCGGUAACAGAUCCAGCUUGCUGGAUGCUGACGAGCGGCGGACGGGUGAGUAACGCAUAGGAAUUUACCCGAUAGUGGGGGAUAACCUGGGGAAACUCAGGCUAAUACCGCAUACGUCCUACGGGAGAAAGGGGGCCUUGGCUCCCGCUAUCGGAUGAGCCUAUGCCGGAUUAGCUGGUUGGUGAGGUAAUGGCUCACCAAGGCGACGAUCCGUAGCUGGUCUGAGAGGAUGAUCAGCCACAUCGGGACUGAGACACGGCCCGAACUCCUACGGGAGGCAGCAGUGGGGAAUAUUGGACAAUGGGGGCAACCCUGAUCCAGCCAUGCCGCGUGUGUGAAGAAGGCCCUCGGGUUGUAAAGCACUUUCAGCGAGGAAGAACGCCUGGCGGUUAAUACCCGCCAGGAAAGACAUCACUCGCAGAAGAAGCACCGGCUAACUCCGUGCCAGCAGCCGCGGUAAUACGGAGGGUGCAAGCGUUAAUCGGAAUUACUGGGCGUAAAGCGCGCGUAGGUGGCUUGAUAAGCCGGUUGUGAAAGCCCCGGGCUCAACCUGGGAACGGCAUCCGGAACUGUCAGGCUAGAGUGCAGGAGAGGAAGGUAGAAUUCCCGGUGUAGCGGUGAAAUGCGUAGAGAUCGGGAGGAAUACCAGUGGCGAAGGCGGCCUUCUGGACUGACACUGACACUGAGGUGCGAAAGCGUGGGUAGCAAACAGGAUUAGAUACCCUGGUAGUCCACGCCGUAAACGAUGUCGACCAGCCGUUGGGUGCC
Molecule: ribosomal RNA, 772 nt
Filed under: Halomonas sp. M6M-2
Lineage: Bacteria; Pseudomonadati; Pseudomonadota; Gammaproteobacteria; Oceanospirillales; Halomonadaceae
Description: bacterial SSU rRNA
Rfam family: Bacterial small subunit ribosomal RNA
Source: RNAcentral